GGAAUUAGCAGCCCGAGAAGUGAGGACUUUGACUUUUUGCAACUAAGUCGGUGCGUCGCUGAACAUAUGUGCCUAACAAAAAUGGAAAGGUGUAAAUGCUGUGUAACAGGUGGGUUAAAAAUGGAAACUAAACCAACAGUGAAGAGGUCUGCAUCCGAUCUGGAUGUCAUUGACUUGGAUGUUUACUCCACGGCCAGAAAAAAGGCCAAAGUGUCAGCAUCAUAUCUAGAUGACAUAGACCUAGAUGACGAUUCCACGUCCAGCAAAAACACCAAAGGGUCCAUAUCAGAUCUGGAUGACAUUGACCUCGAUGUGGAUUCUGCACCUAGAAUAUGUAGAAUAAAAACAAAAGUAACUGUUAACAGUUCCUUGGAUGGAGGAAAUUUCAGUCAGAAGACUGAAGACUUCUGUGAAGCUGGCAAUGCGGAUGAUUCAGGGAUAUUAACUGGGUCACCCAGUGGAUUCACAACAAUUAGGACUGCAGUUAAUGUUGAAAAUGGAGGAAUGUCAGACUGGACUCAAGAUGAUAUGUCAGCCAUUUCCAAGAUUGCAUCACUGCAACAAGAUGCUGAGGUCAUUGCGUCUUUGGUGCCCAAUGUUGGUGUGUCAGUAAUUUAUGACAAACUUUUCCCAAUUAGAACAAAUCCAAACCGAAUGGACAUUGUGACAACAGAAUUACUUGACAAUCCACCUGAUGCCGCACAAACAGAUGAAGCCCCUAGAAGCAAAGGAGAAACUGCUUCAAAGCCAGCUCUCUAUGAGGAUGUGAAAUCUGUGAUUCACAAAGUUAAGCAAGUUGCUGCAUCUAUGAAAUUAAAUCCUGCUGAAAUUUAUGUUCUCCUGGAAAGGCAUGCUGAUGCUGCUGACCGGACAGAUGUUGUUGCUAAUCUGUUUCUCCAAGAUUUGAAGAAUACCGCUGGAGCUUCCAAUGAAGUGGACCUGUUUGAUGAGGUUCAGAAGGUGAUCACAAAGGUCCCAGCAGCAAAUCCUGAUCAGGUUUAUGCCUUGCUGGAGUCUUUUAGUAGCCAUGGUGACAGAGUUCAGAAAGUGGUUGAUCAUUUGUCAAAAGUUGUUGACAAGCCCAUCGUAAUUGAUGAUGAUUCUUUACCCAGUGAACCACAGUUGAUAAAUGACGACCCAGUGUUCUCAGACAUGAAAAAGGUAGCUGAAAUGUUUCCUGAAAUGGACAGGAAUGAAAUCUAUGCAUAUUUAGAAGCUCACCAUGAUAAGAAAGACAGGGUGUUGAGGGUGACAGAGGAAAUUGGUCGUUCAUCAACAGGUAGCCGCAGCACACCUCUAUCAGUCUCCAGUGAUGGAGGGGAGGUAACUCCAAUGAAACCAGCUUUUCAAGGUGCCUGUAGCCUUCAGGGGGAGGUUGACCAACUGCGGGAAAUAUUCCCAGAUUGUGAUCCUAACUAUCUGUUUGAACAGCUGGAAGAAAAGGCAAAUGAUGCAGAGAGAGUGAAAAAUUUGGCAGCACAAAUGUUUGAAAAACGGAACUAUCCAAAAAUUAAAGAUAUGUUGGAAAAAAAACAAAAAAAUGAUAGACAAGAACAGAUUAAGAAUUUAAAAUUUGACAUGGAAAACUUCUUAUCCAAAUUUCCAGAUCCAGUGGAAUAUUUCUCAAAAACAGACACAAAUAUGAGUGACAGUUAUAAAGAGCACUGCUUUGUCUAUGUUAGAAAUGAGUUUGACUGUUUCACAUUGGCACACAUGAAGAAGGUACUGGAGAAGUACAACCACCAUCUGGCACCAGCUCUCAGAGAACUGAAACAACUGAAAGAGGAGCCUGCUGAAACAAAAAAACGGCGCCGGAAAAUCAAGAGAAAACAUUCACCAUUUCCAGAUGAACCAGAUGAGAGAUUUUAUCAUGAACUUCUCUUCUCACAAAAUGAACAGAGAGUCACAGAUCAUUUUGUUAACAGAGAGCUGGAUAGGAAACAAAAACUUGAAGCUGCAAGAAGAAAUAGUGAACUGUAUGAAUGUGGAUGUUGUUUUGAUGAUGAACUUCUGUUUGAGGACUUGUCUGCCUGUGCAGACGGCCAUCUCGUCUGUCGAGAAUGUAUCCGCCGAUCUACGGAGUCCGCCCUUGGUGAAGGGAAGACAAAAUUCCCCUGCUUGACAGGGGAGUGUGAGUAUGACAUUCCACUGACAGUCCUGCAGGAAGUCCUCACAUCAGCAAUGUUCUCAAGAAUGUUGUCACGGUUACAAGAAGAGGAGAUUCGAAUGGCUGAAAUUCCUGAUCUUGUCGCGUGCCCAUUCUGUAAUUUUGCCACCAUUAUGUCUGACCCAAGUGAUAAAGUAUUUAAGUGCCUCAACCCAGAAUGCCUCAAGGAGACUUGCAGACUGUGCAAGGAACCCAAUCAUGUGCCACUGAAGUGUGAGGAGGUGGAGAAACAAGGGGAAACCAGCAUGAGAACCUACAUCGAGAACCGCAUCUCGGAGGCCAUGUUGAGAACCUGUCACCGCUGCAAGAAGAGGUUCUACAAGGAGACUGGCUGCAACAGGAUGACAUGUUCCUGUGGCGCUACCAGUUGCUACGUGUGCCGGAAACCAAAUAUUGACUACAGCCAUUUCCAAGGUGGAAGAUGCAGCAACACUGAGGAUGCCCAAAAAAUCCACUUGGAGGAGAUGGAGAAGGCAGCCAAGGAGGCCAAGGCACAAUAUCUGAAGGAUCACCCGGAUGCAGACAUCCACUCUCUCAAGUACGACCCCAGGAAACAUGUACAAGAAUAUAAACUGACAUCCGGUUUUGGGAUUAGGAAUGGAGAAAGGGAUACUGGUGAUGAUGAUGAAGAGGUUGAAGAUGAUGCCGAUGAUGGCAUACAAGUGGUGGAAGAUGAAUGGUCAGAUGACGAUGGGUUAGGGUAUUAUUUCUACUUCUAGGACAAAUCCUGUCUACUUCAAGACCAAGUUAUUAUCAUUGCUCCUAUCUUAUAAUCUGUCACUUCAUUGUCCUGUGUCAGGAGUUUAAAUAACAGAUGGAGUAUGCCAUUAACAUUGUCCAAACUCAGGCCGACAGGCUAGGGUUACAUGGCUGUGAAGCCUUGCACAGUGCCUCAGAGAGUAUUCAUUGUUUACAUAUUUAUUUUUCUAUACAAAUGGCUACAGUAUGUCUUUAGGUAGUCUGUUGUUUCAUGUUUGGCCAUAAAUCUUCUUGUCAUUAUGCUCAGAUCCACAAGCAUGGUACGACCAUUUUACUAAACUAAUCAUAACAGAUUCUGCAUUGCUGAGAUCAUAUGUUAGUAAUGUAAAAUAUGGAUACGAAUAGUUACUAUGAGUCCAUACACACUAUAUUUUGAGGUUGUGAAAUAAUAAAAGCAUUCACAUCA
RNAcentral lists this unclassified non-coding RNA (3332 nucleotides) under Haliotis rufescens (red abalone). RNAcentral describes it as "uncharacterized LOC124119938, transcript variant X3". The record is from RNAcentral. Lineage: Eukaryota; Metazoa; Mollusca; Gastropoda; Lepetellida; Haliotidae.